GAUGAACGCUGGCGGCGUGCCUAAUACAUGCAAGUCGAGCGAACAGACGAGGAGCUUGCUCCUCUGACGUUAGCGGCGGACGGGUGAGUAACACGUGGAUAACCUACCUAUAAGACUGGGAUAACUUCGGGAAACCGGAGCUAAUACCGGAUAAUAUAUUGAACCGCAUGGUUCAAUAGUGAAAGACGGUUUUGCUGUCACUUAUAGAUGGAUCCGCGCCGCAUUAGCUAGUUGGUAAGGUAACGGCUUACCAAGGCAACGAUGCGUAGCCGACCUGAGAGGGUGAUCGGCCACACUGGAACUGAGACACGGUCCAGACUCCUACGGGAGGCAGCAGUAGGGAAUCUUCCGCAAUGGGCGAAAGCCUGACGGAGCAACGCCGCGUGAGUGAUGAAGGUCUUCGGAUCGUAAAACUCUGUUAUUAGGGAAGAACAAAUGUGUAAGUAACUAUGCACGUGUUGACGGUACCUAAUCAGAAAGCCACGGCUAACUACGUG
Molecule: ribosomal RNA, 497 nt
Filed under: uncultured bacterium
Lineage: Bacteria
Description: partial 16S ribosomal RNA
Rfam family: Bacterial small subunit ribosomal RNA
Source: RNAcentral